Molecule: ribosomal RNA, 208 nt
Filed under: uncultured bacterium
Lineage: Bacteria
Description: partial 16S ribosomal RNA
Rfam family: Bacterial small subunit ribosomal RNA
Source: RNAcentral
CGUGUAGGCGGUUCGGUAAGUGGAAUGUGAAAUCCCUCGGCUCACCCGAGGACCUGCAUCCCAAACUGCCGAGCUUAAGUAUGGGAGAGGAUGAGGGAAUUCCUGGUGUAGCGGUGAAAUAGCGUAGAUAUCAGGAGGAACACCGGUGGCGAAGGCGCUCAUCUGGCCCAACUACUGACGCUGAGGCGCGAAAGCUAGGGAGCAAACG